UGGGGAAUAUUGCACAAUGGAGGGAACUCUGAUGCAGCGACGCCGCGAGAACGAAGAAGGCUUUCGAGUCGUAAAGUUCUUUUAUAUGGGAAGAUAAUGACGGUACCAUAAGAAAAAGCCCCGGCUAACUACGUGCCAGCAGCCGCGGUAAUACGUAGGGGGCUAGCGUUGUCCGGAAUCACUGGGCGUAAAGGGUUCGCAAGCGGAAAUGCAAGUCAGGUGUAAAAGGCAGUAGCUUAACUACUGUAAGCAUUUGAAACUGCAUAUCUUGAGAAGAGUAGAGGUAAGUGGAAUUUUUAGUGUAGCGGUGAAAUGCGUAGAUAUUAAAAAGCAUACCGUUGGCGAAGUCGACUUACUGGGCUCAUUCUGACGCUGAGGAACGAAAGCGUGGGUAGCAAACAGG
Molecule: ribosomal RNA, 403 nt
Filed under: Fusobacteriota bacterium
Lineage: Bacteria; Fusobacteriati; Fusobacteriota
Description: Fusobacteria bacterium partial 16S ribosomal RNA
Rfam family: Bacterial small subunit ribosomal RNA
Source: RNAcentral